Molecule: ribosomal RNA, 892 nt
Filed under: Vibrio parahaemolyticus
Lineage: Bacteria; Pseudomonadati; Pseudomonadota; Gammaproteobacteria; Vibrionales; Vibrionaceae
Description: bacterial SSU rRNA
Rfam family: Bacterial small subunit ribosomal RNA
Source: RNAcentral
GAUAACGGCGUCGAGCGGCGGACGGGUGAGUAAUGCCUAGGAAAUUGCCCUGAUGUGGGGGAUAACCAUUGGAAACGAUGGCUAAUACCGCAUGAUGCCUACGGGCCAAAGAGGGGGACCUUCGGGCCUCUCGCGUCAGGAUAUGCCUAGGUGGGAUUAGCUAGUUGGUGAGGUAAGGGCUCACCAAGGCGACGAUCCCUAGCUGGUCUGAGAGGAUGAUCAGCCACACUGGAACUGAGACACGGUCCAGACUCCUACGGGAGGCAGCAGUGGGGAAUAUUGCACAAUGGGCGCAAGCCUGAUGCAGCCAUGCCGCGUGUGUGAAGAAGGCCUUCGGGUUGUAAAGCACUUUCAGUCGUGAGGAAGGUGGUGUAGUUAAUAGCUGCAUCAUUUGACGUUAGCGACAGAAGAAGCACCGGCUAACUCCGUGCCAGCAGCCGCGGUAAUACGGAGGGUGCGAGCGUUAAUCGGAAUUACUGGGCGUAAAGCGCAUGCAGGUGGUUUGUUAAGUCAGAUGUGAAAGCCCGGGGCUCAACCUCGGAAUUGCAUUUGAAACUGGCAGACUAGAGUACUGUAGAGGGGGGUAGAAUUUCAGGUGUAGCGGUGAAAUGCGUAGAGAUCUGAAGGAAUACCGGUGGCGAAGGCGGCCCCCUGGACAGAUACUGACACUCAGAUGCGAAAGCGUGGGGAGCAAACAGGAUUAGAUACCCUGGUAGUCCACGCCGUAAACGAUGUCUACUUGGAGGUUGUGGCCUUGAGCCGUGGCUUUCGGAGCUAACGCGUUAAGUAGACCGCCUGGGGAGUACGGUCGCAAGAUUAAAACUCAAAUGAAUUGACGGGGGCCCGCACAAGCGGUGGAGCAUGUGGUUUAAUUCGAUGCAACGCGAAGAAC